Molecule: ribosomal RNA, 2050 nt
Filed under: compost metagenome
Description: bacterial LSU rRNA
Rfam family: Bacterial large subunit ribosomal RNA
Source: RNAcentral
UCAAGUUACUAAGGGCACACGGUGGAUGCCUUGGCAGCCGAACCGAUGAAGGACGUGGCUACCUGCGAUAAGCCUCGGGGAGCUGGAAGCAAGCUUUGAUCCGGGGAUUUCCGAAUGGGGAAACCCAGUGGGGCGAACCCCCACUACCCACAGCUGAAUACAUAGGCUGUGUGGAGGGAACCUAGGGAACUGAAACAUCUAAGUACCUAGAGGAAAAGAAAGAAAACUCGAUUCCCCCAGUAGCGGCGAGCGAAAAGGGAAUAGCCUAAACCGGUCCCUACGGGGACCGGGGUUGUAGGACCGGCAACGUGGACUCGAGCGUCUAGUCGAAGCGCACUGGAAAGGCGCGCCAAAGACGGUGACAGCCCAGUAGACGAAAGACGCGGAAGCCUAGCCGGCACCUGAGUAGCGCGAGUCACGUGGAACCUCGCGUGAAUCUACGGGGACCACCCCGUAAGGCUAAAUAUUCCGGCUGACCGAUAGUGAACCAGUACCGUGAGGGAAAGGUGAAAAGCACCCCGGGAGGGGAGUGAAAUAGUACCUGAAACCGUGUGCUUACAAGCAGUCACAGCCCUAUGCCGCCUUCGGGCGGAACGGGUAGUGGCGUGCCUCUUGAAGCAUGAUCCUGCGACUUACUGGCAGUGCCGAGUUUAAGCCGUUAGGCGGAGGCGCAGCGAAAGCGAGUCUGAAUAGGGCGUUCAGGCGCUGUCAGUAGACCCGAAACCGGAUGAGCUAGCCAUGGCCAGGUUGAAGCUUCCGUAAAAGGAAGUGGAGGACCGAACCCGUUGAGGUUGAAAACUCUUGGGAUGAGCUGUGGUUAGGAGUGAAAAGCUAACCGAAUCCGGAGAUAGCUGGUUCUCCCCGAAAUAGCUUUAGGGCUAGCCUCGGGGGUUUACCAGUGGCUGUAAAGCACUGAUUGGGCUAGGGGGCUUACCAGCUUACCAAACCCUGUCAAACUCUGAAGGUCACUGGUCCAUACCCCGGGAGUCAGUCUGCGAGAGCUAACUUUCGUAGACGAGAGGGAAACAACCCAGAGCGCCAGUUAAGGUCCCCAAGUUGUAGCUAAGUGGUUAAGGAUGUGGAGACGCUAAGACAGCUAGGAGGUUGGCUUAGAAGCAGCCAUCCCUUUAAAGAGUGCGUAACAGCUCACUAGUCGAGUGUCUCUGCGCCGAAGAUGAUCGGGGCUAAGCUACACACCGAAACUGCGCCAUCGCAGCUAUGCUGCGUUGGGUAGGGGAGCGUUCCGUAUGCCGCCGAAGCGGUACCGUAAGGAGCCGUGGAGGUAUCGGAAGUGCGAAUGCAGGAAUGAGUAACGAUAAGAAGGGUGAGAAUCCCUUCCGCCGAAAGCCCAAGGUUUCCUGAGCAAGGGUCGUCCUCUCAGGGUUAGGCGGGACCUAAGGCGAGGCCGAAAGGCGUAGUCGAUGGACAGCAGGUCAAUAUUCCUGCCCCGCCGUCGUGGAGUGAUGGGGUGACGCAUUAGGAUAGGCCAUCCGGAGCUAUGGCUAUGCCCGGCGGCGUGCGAAGCCUGGAGGGAUAGGAAAAUCCGCCCUCCGCGUAGGUGACGUACGUCGGGAAGGCCCUACGGGGCUGAUAACUGGUUGAAUCCACGGUGCCAAGAAAAACCUCUAAACGUUGAAGCGACGGCGCCCGUACCAAAACCGACACAGGUGGGCGAGUGUAAGAGCACUAAGGCGCGCGAGAGAACCCUGGUUAAGGAACUCUGCAAAUUGGCCCCGUAACUUCGGGAGAAGGGGUCCCGCGUGUAGGGUUGGUCAUCCGACCUGCCCGAGGCGGGCACAGUAAACCGGCUCUAGCGACUGUUUACCACAAUCACAGCACUCUGCUAACCCGAAUAGGGGAUGUAUAGGGUGUGACACCUGCCCGGUGCUGGAAGGUCAACGGGAGGCGUGCAAGCGCCGAACUGAAGCCCCAGUGAACGGCGGCCGUAACUAUAACGGUCCUAAGGUAGCGAAAUUCCUUGUCAGGUAAGUUCUGACCUGCACGAAUGGUGUAACGACUGGAGCGCUGUCUCAACCAGGGACUCGGUGAA